RNAcentral lists this transfer RNA (72 nucleotides) under Marmota monax (woodchuck). RNAcentral describes it as "tRNA.Ala". It matches the Rfam family "tRNA". Rfam says of the family: Transfer RNA (tRNA) molecules are approximately 80 nucleotides in length. Their secondary structure includes four short double-helical elements and three loops (D, anti-codon, and T loops). Further hydrogen bonds mediate the characteristic L-shaped molecular structure. tRNAs have two regions of fundamental functional importance: the anti-codon, which is responsible for specific mRNA codon recognition, and the 3' end, to which the tRNAs corresponding amino acid is attached (by aminoacyl-tRNA synthetases). tRNAs cope with the degeneracy of the genetic code in two manners: having more than one tRNA (with a specific anti-codon) for a particular amino acid; and 'wobble' base-pairing, i.e. permitting non-standard base-pairing at the 3rd anti-codon position. Lineage: Eukaryota; Metazoa; Chordata; Mammalia; Rodentia; Sciuridae. The record is from RNAcentral.
GGGGAUGUGGCUCAAGUGGUAGAGUGCUCGCCUAGCAAAUGUGAGGCACUGAGUUCGAUCCUCAGCACCACA